Small nuclear RNA from Pongo abelii (Sumatran orangutan), 118 nucleotides. The record is from Ensembl. Lineage: Eukaryota; Metazoa; Chordata; Mammalia; Primates; Hominidae.
GUGCUCACUUUGGCAGCACAUAUACUAAAAUUGGAACUAGACAGAGAUUGGCAUUGCCCCCGAGCAAGAAUGACACGCAAAUUCGUGAAGCCUUCAAUAAAAAAUAAAAUAAAUUUUU